RNAcentral lists this ribosomal RNA (706 nucleotides) under Bacillus pumilus. RNAcentral describes it as "bacterial SSU rRNA". It matches the Rfam family "Bacterial small subunit ribosomal RNA", at positions 539 to 1248 of the family's 1533-position model. The record is from RNAcentral. Lineage: Bacteria; Bacillati; Bacillota; Bacilli; Caryophanales; Bacillaceae.
UGCGAGUCGGAUAUUGGGCGUAAGGGCUCGCAGGCGGUUUCUUAAGUCUGAUGUGAAAGCCCCCGGCUCAACCGGGGAGGGUCAUUGGAAACUGGGAAACUUGAGUGCAGAAGAGGAGAGUGGAAUUCCACGUGUAGCGGUGAAAUGCGUAGAGAUGUGGAGGAACACCAGUGGCGAAGGCGACUCUCUGGUCUGUAACUGACGCUGAGGAGCGAAAGCGUGGGGAGCGAACAGGAUUAGAUACCCUGGUAGUCCACGCCGUAAACGAUGAGUGCUAAGUGUUAGGGGGUUUCCGCCCCUUAGUGCUGCAGCUAACGCAUUAAGCACUCCGCCUGGGGAGUACGGUCGCAAGACUGAAACUCAAAGGAAUUGACGGGGGCCCGCACAAGCGGUGGAGCAUGUGGUUUAAUUCGAAGCAACGCGAAGAACCUUACCAGGUCUUGACAUCCUCUGACAACCCUAGAGAUAGGGCUUUCCCUUCGGGGACAGAGUGACAGGUGGUGCAUGGUUGUCGUCAGCUCGUGUCGUGAGAUGUUGGGUUAAGUCCCGCAACGAGCGCAACCCUUGAUCUUAGUUGCCAGCAUUCAGUUGGGCACUCUAAGGUGACUGCCGGUGACAAACCGGAGGAAGGUGGGGAUGACGUCAAAUCAUCAUGCCCCUUAUGACCUGGGCUACACACGUGCUACAAUGGACAGAACAAAGGGCU